RNAcentral lists this ribosomal RNA (253 nucleotides) under uncultured bacterium. Its description in RNAcentral is "partial 16S ribosomal RNA". It matches the Rfam family "Bacterial small subunit ribosomal RNA", at positions 524 to 776 of the family's 1533-position model. The record is from RNAcentral.
GACGUAGGGGGCAAGCGUUAUUCGGAAUUAUUGGGCGUAAAGCGCUCGUAGGCGGGACAGGAAGUCCGUGAAGAAAGACCUGGGCUCAACUCAGGGACCGGCACGGAUACUCUUGUUCUUGAGGCAAUCAGAGGGUGAUGGAAUUCCCGGUGCAGCGGUGAAAUGCGUAGAUAUCGGGAGGAACACCAGUGGCGAAGGCGAUCACCUGGGGUUGUUCUGACGCUGAGGAGCGAAAGCUAGGGGAGCAAACGGG